AUGUGGGGCCAUACUGCCAUUAACAUCAAUGGGAAAGUUAGUAACUUCUUUAAGAAUUCUCGUGGCCUCCGGCAAGGUGAUCCGGCCUCGCCCAUCCUCUUUAACUUUGUGGCGGAUGCUCUUUCUAAUAUCCUAUCCAGAGCCGCGGAGGCUGGCCACAUCUCUCCUGUUAGCUCACACCUCAUUCUGGAGGGUAUUACUCACCUCCAAUAUGCAGACGAUACAAUUAUUCUUGUGGAACUAAACGAUCAUUGCAUUGCCCAUCUCAAAUUUCUGCUACUUUGCUUCGAAGUUCUCUCGGGUCUCAAGAUAAAUUUCUCCAAAAGUGAAGUUAUUGUCACUGGGGUGCCGGACACCGAGGCCUUGCGGGUGGCUCGCCUCCUGAACUGCUCUCUUGGUUCGUUCCCUAUAAAGUACCUGGGUUUACCUAUCACCUCUGGAAAACUCCUUGCUAAAGAUUUUGCUCCAACAGUGACCAAGGUGGGUAAUCGUGUUAUGCCCUGGAGGGGUAGAUACAACACUCAGGCGGGUAAAGUUGCCUUGAUUAAUGCGUGCCUAUCUUCUCUACCAAUGUUCUUGAUGGGUUUUUAUCUUCUUUCUAUGGGAACCCAUGCUGGCUUUGAUAAACACAGAGGUGCCUUCUAUUGGAAUGCCGCUGAUAACAAGCGCAAAUAUCGCUUGGUCAAAUGGGACCAUAUUUGUAAGCCAAAAAGCCUUGGGAGCUGGGCAUUAUUAACACUCUUGUUAUGA
RNAcentral lists this ribosomal RNA (750 nucleotides) under Triticum aestivum (bread wheat). RNAcentral's name for it is "partial small subunit ribosomal RNA". The record is from RNAcentral. Lineage: Eukaryota; Viridiplantae; Streptophyta; Magnoliopsida; Poales; Poaceae.